RNAcentral lists this unclassified non-coding RNA (324 nucleotides) under soil metagenome. RNAcentral's name for it is "partial contains 5.8S ribosomal RNA, internal transcribed spacer 2, and large subunit ribosomal RNA". The stretch from base 1 to 120 matches the Rfam family "5.8S ribosomal RNA", at positions 35 to 154 of the family's 154-position model. The record is from RNAcentral.
GAUGAAGAACGCAGCGAAAUGCGAUAAGUAAUGUGAAUUGCAGAAUUCAGUGAAUCAUCGAAUCUUUGAACGCACAUUGCGCCCCUUGGUAUUCCGGGGGGCAUGCCUGUUCGAGCGUCAUUAUAACCCUCAAGCCUAGCUUGGUGUUGGAGCAUGCUACCUAAGCAGCUCUUAAAAUCAGUGGCAGUGCCCUUCGGCUCUAAGCGUAGUAACUUCUCUCGCUAUGGAACCCGGAGGGUACGCGCCAGAACCCCCAACUUUCUAUGGUUGACCUCGGAUCAGGUAGGGAUACCCGCUGAACUUAAGCAUAUCAUAAGCGGAGGA